UACGUAGGGUGCGAGCGUUGUCCGGAAUUACUGGGCGUAAAGAGCUCGUAGGUGGUUUGUCGCGUUGUUCGUGAAAACUCACAGCUUAACUGUGGGCGUGCGGGCGAUACGGGCAGACUGGAGUACUGCAGGGGAGACUGGAAUUCCUGGUGUAGCGGUGGAAUGCGUAGAUAUCGGGAGGAACACCAGUGGCGAAGGCGGUUGCCUGGAGCUUUGCUGACGCUGAGGCGCGAAAGCGUGGGGAGCGAUCCGG
RNAcentral lists this ribosomal RNA (253 nucleotides) under uncultured bacterium. RNAcentral describes it as "partial 16S ribosomal RNA". It matches the Rfam family "Bacterial small subunit ribosomal RNA", at positions 524 to 776 of the family's 1533-position model. The record is from RNAcentral.